Molecule: regulatory RNA element, 183 nt
Organism: Treponema denticola ATCC 35405
Lineage: Bacteria; Pseudomonadati; Spirochaetota; Spirochaetia; Treponematales; Treponemataceae
Rfam family: TD-1 RNA
About the family: non coding RNA found in Treponema denticola
Source: Rfam
UUUAAACUACUUGAAAAAAAACAUAGUUUCUUCUAUAUAUUAUAUGCGGUUUGUAAACAAACCGCUUGAAAAAACUUUUUUCAAGAUUUGAUUCGCUAUCCGCUUUAGCGGAUACGAUGAAAAAGUUCCUUGCAGAACAUAGCCGCAAGGCUCUGAUAAUCCUUGCAAAAAGUUUUUAUAGGA